AUUGAACGCUGGCGGCAUGCCUUACACAUGCAAGUCGAGCGGCAGCGCGGGGGCAACCCUGGCGGCGAGCGGCGCACGGGUGAGUAAUACAUCGGAACGUGUCCUUUCGUGGGGGAUAACCAGUCGAAAGAUUGGCUAAUACCGCAUGAGAUCUCACGAUGAAAGCGGGGGACCCGAGGGUAACUUCGGGCCUCGCGCGAUUGGAGCGGCCGAUGUCGGAUUAGCAGUUGGCGGGGUAAAAGCCCACCAAGGCGACGAUCCGUAGCUGGUUUGAGAGAACGACCAGCCACACUGGGACUGAGACACGGCCCAGACUCCUACGGGA
This 325-nucleotide ribosomal RNA is filed under the name uncultured bacterium. RNAcentral's name for it is "bacterial SSU rRNA". It matches the Rfam family "Bacterial small subunit ribosomal RNA", at positions 29 to 346 of the family's 1533-position model. The record is from RNAcentral.